ACCACGCAGUACCGCGACCACAUUUUACAGGUAAGCCCAUGCCUGGUGGUUCCCUUGCCCCACGGUCCCCUACCAACACAGGUUGCCAUCAACUUACCGCGGUACCACUAGUUCGAACGUAGGCAGGACUCGCCGCGGUGGUACCAUUUCAACGGUUUUUUCGCCAGCAAGAUUUGAAUUUUUUCUUCAACGAAUGUCGGCUUUGUGACGGAUCUUGCGUGCCCCAUCCGGACGACUAAUCGACCGUAAUUGGUGUGUGCUGUGUGUGAAAUUUGGUGUGAAUACGGUGUGAAUUUCCAAUGUAAAUCCCUGGGAAAGUUGACCGAUGCCGAAAGAAUUGGAAUGCAAAAGUUAAGCACGACUUUCAUCCGACACGAAGCAACUGCCGCUCUUUAGGCUGCUCCCAAAUAUUUAGGAGUGUGAGUGAGAUUGAGGUCAAACGCACACGCUUUCUUGCUACCUAACCUCGAUUCUUUCGAUGGAAUCUGUGGUUUUCACACAUCAAGAUCUGGUAGAUUGGUUGAUUUCCCAUCGGCAAUUGAUUGCGGAAUUCCACUAUUAAAUUCCUGCUACUGAGCAAAUGAUGCUGAAAACCAUCUAAGACUCACAGUGGAUGCAUGUAAUUAUCCACACAGAUUUGUACCAAUUAAUCGCUCCACAACAUUCCAACUGAUUGAUUUAUCAUAGCAAAUUACCGUUAGGUAUUGUAAUGUUACAUAAGUACGUGCUGAUAUGAUUAAAUGGAUUUAUGCAAAUUAUCGAA
Molecule: long non-coding RNA, 763 nt
Organism: Dendroctonus ponderosae (mountain pine beetle)
Lineage: Eukaryota; Metazoa; Arthropoda; Insecta; Coleoptera; Curculionidae
Exons: 2
Source: RefSeq, a predicted model, not a curated record